AUUGAACGCUGGCGGCAUGCCUUACACAUGCAAGUCGAACGGCAGCACGGGUGCUUGCCCCUGGUGGCGAGUGGCGAACGGGUGAGUAUUACAUCGGAACAUGUCCUGUAUUGGGGUAUAGCCCGGCGAAAGCCGCAUUACUACCGCAUACGAUUCACUGAUGACAGCGGGGGCCCUUCGGGCCUCGCGCUUUACGGUUGGCCGAUGACUGAUUAGCUAGUUGGUGGGGUAAAGGCCUACCAAGGCGACGAUCAGUAGCUGGUCUGAGAGGACGACCAGCCACACUGGAACUGAGACACGGCCCAGACUCCUACGGGAGGCAGCAGUGGGGAAUUUUGGGCAAUGGGCGAAAGCCUGAUCCAGCAAUGCCGCGUGUGUGAAGAAGGCCUUCGGGUUGUAAAGCACUUUUGUCCGGGAAGAAAAAAUUGACUAUAAUACAGGCGGGGGAUGACGGUACCGGAAGAAUAAGCACCGGCUAACUACGUG
This 486-nucleotide ribosomal RNA is filed under the name uncultured bacterium. Its description in RNAcentral is "partial 16S ribosomal RNA". It matches the Rfam family "Bacterial small subunit ribosomal RNA", at positions 30 to 507 of the family's 1533-position model. The record is from RNAcentral.